AGCGAACGCUGGCGGCAGGCUUAACACAUGCAAGUCGAGCGGGCCCUUCGGGUCAGCGGCAGACGGGUGAGUAACACGUGGGAACGUACCCUUCGGUUCGGAAUAACUCAGGGAAACUUGAGCUAAUACCGGAUACGCCCUUUGGGGAAGGUUACUGCGAAGGAUCGCCCGCGUCUGAUAGCUAGUUGGUGGGGUAAUGGCCCACCCAAAGGCGACGAUCAGUAGCUGGUCUGAGAGGAUGAUCAGCCACACUGGGACUGAGACACGGCCCAGACUCCUACGGGAGGCAGCAGUGGGGAAGUAAUUGGACAAAUGGGCGGCAAGCCUGAUCCAGCCAUGCCGCGUGAGUGAUGAAGGCCUUAGGGUUGUUAAAG
Molecule: ribosomal RNA, 374 nt
Filed under: uncultured bacterium
Lineage: Bacteria
Description: bacterial SSU rRNA
Rfam family: Bacterial small subunit ribosomal RNA
Source: RNAcentral